CCUACGGGUGGCAGCAGUGAGGAAUAUUGGUCAAUGGACGCAAGUCUGAACCAGCCAUGCCGCGUGCAGGAAGACGGUGCUAUGAGUUGUAAACUGCUUUUGUACGAGGACAAACUCAGGUACGCGUGUCUGUCUGAGAGUACCGUACGAAUAAGCAUCGGCUAACUCCGUGCCAGCAGCCGCGGUAAUACGGAGGAUUCAAGCGUUAUCCGGAUUUAUUGGGUUUAAAGGGUGCGUAGGCGGUCGGUUAAGUUAGCGGUGAAAUCCCGAGGCUCAACUUCGGACUUGCCUCUGAUACUGUUCGGCUAGAGAGUAGUUGCGGUAGGCGGAAUGUAUGGUGUAGCGGUGAAAUGCUUAGAGAUCAUACAGAACACCGAUUGCGAAGGCAGCUUACCAGGCUACAUCUGACGUUGAGGCACGAAAGCGUGGGGAGCAAACAGGAUUAGAUACCCCAGUAGUC
RNAcentral lists this ribosomal RNA (460 nucleotides) under uncultured bacterium. RNAcentral's name for it is "partial 16S ribosomal RNA". It matches the Rfam family "Bacterial small subunit ribosomal RNA", at positions 338 to 795 of the family's 1533-position model. The record is from RNAcentral.